GAUGAACGCUGGCGGCGUGCCUAAUACAUGCAAGUCGAGCGAACAGACGAGGAGCUUGCUCCUCUGACGUUAGCGGCGGACGGGUGAGUAACACGUGGAUAACCUACCUAUAAGACUGGGAUAACUUCGGGAAACCGGAGCUAAUACCGGAUAAUAUAUUGAACCGCAUGGUUCAAUAGUGAAAGACGGUUUUGCUGUCACUUAUAGAUGGAUCCGCGCCGCAUUAGCUAGUUGGUAAGGUAACGGCUUACCAAGGCCACGAUGCGUAGCCGACCUGAGAGGGUGAUCGGCCACACUGGAACUGAGACACGGUCCAGACUCCUACGGGAGGCAGCAGUAGGGAAUCUUCCGCAAUGGGCGAAAGCCUGACGGAGCAACGCCGCGUGAGUGAUGAAGGUCUUCGGAUCAUAAAACUCUGUUAUUAGGGAAGAACAAAUGUGUAAGUAACUAUGCACGUCUUGACGGUACCUAAUCAGAAAGCCACGGCUAACUACGUG
Molecule: ribosomal RNA, 497 nt
Filed under: uncultured bacterium
Lineage: Bacteria
Description: partial 16S ribosomal RNA
Rfam family: Bacterial small subunit ribosomal RNA
Source: RNAcentral